This is a long non-coding RNA of Sinocyclocheilus grahami, 1128 nucleotides long. RefSeq lists it as uncharacterized. The transcript is spliced from 6 exons. NCBI's taxonomy places the organism in Eukaryota, Metazoa, Chordata, Actinopteri, Cypriniformes, Cyprinidae. The record is from RefSeq and is a predicted model, not a curated record.
UUCCAUAGAAACAUUUUGAAAGCAAUGUUUUUGUUAAUAUCUAACUGUUUAGUUGUACCAUUAACAUAACUGUAUUAAGUCAAGUUACUUCUAUGGGACUGAUGCAGCUCAGCAGACCUAAAAGGUCUCAGCUGGACAUUUUUCAUUGUAAACUUGAAGGAUUUAUUAGUAUGACACUGAAUUAUAUAAUGUUAUAUAUUGUUCACUUAAAAAUAUCGUCAUUUUCAUGUUUCGCAGCACCACCUGUCCCCUUUAAUACAUCUAGCAUGCCUUCCAGUCCUUUACGCCACUCCUCUGGACAUGUUCCAGAUCUGACGCAUUCCUGAAGAUGGUUACACAGAGCCUCCAGCUGUUAGGUCUUCUUCCCACAUGCCAUCGAGCUAUAUGGACCAGAUCUCUGCCAUGUCUCUGUCAAAUGAGCAUUGCUUUAGGCCCACAUUUAGACUGGGGAAAACAGGCACUGGACCUAUUCCUUGCUCUGCUGCUCAGCUGCACAUCCUAACAUUAUUGGAACAUGUGAAGGAACAGCAAAUGCAGCUUGCUGCUGCUGUCAAUAAUCUUUCUGCACGACUGGGGACAGAGACUACUGUGGCUGAAAUGCCUCAUCAUAUCAGUAUCCCACUGGCCACUAUGCCUGAAGUUUAGGAGUUUGAGGAGUGGCUUAAAGAUUCAAGAAACGCACAGGCUAAACAAAACAUGAUAUCUGCGCUGGGUGGCAUCGGGGGACAAAACACCAAAAAAGUCACGUGGAACAUACUCUCAAGUGUUUUCUCCAAUGCAGUAGCCAAACAGAUAAACUGGAAGGGAGUCAAUGGGAAGAAGUGCUUUAAGGAAAUGCAAACAAGAAGUUUGCUGAUCAGAGCUGCAAGGAAUAACCAGUGUUUUACCAGUGUAACAGAGUGAAAUAGAUUCUCACACCAUCCGUUGGUUCAACCUUGCCUCUGACCGUGGCGGCGGCCGGAAAGAACGUGUAAGAGCCAAAGAGGCAUUAACUGAGAUGCCUCAUGGGAAUUAAACUGCAUGUCUGUAGCGGUUUGUAAUACCAGCGCAUUCCUACCUGUCCUGUUUUAUUUCUUUGUGGUGUUUAUGUUCAUCAUGUGAAGUUAUUUUGUUUAGAUUAUUUAAUUU